This 710-nucleotide ribosomal RNA is filed under the name Lepus capensis (brown hare). RNAcentral's name for it is "partial 12S ribosomal RNA". It matches the Rfam family "Bacterial small subunit ribosomal RNA", at positions 495 to 1509 of the family's 1533-position model. Lineage: Eukaryota; Metazoa; Chordata; Mammalia; Lagomorpha; Leporidae. The record is from RNAcentral.
GGUAAAUCUCGUGCCAGCCACCGCGGUCAUACGAUUAACCCAAACUAAUAAACACCCGGCGUAAAGCGUGAUUAGAACAUUAAACAAAAAUAGAAUCAAAUAACAACUAAGCUGUAAAAAGUAAUAGUUGCAAAUAAAAAUAAACAACGAAAGUGAUUUUACAACCUUUGAACUCACGAUAGCUAAGACCCAAACUGGGAUUAGAUACCCCACUAUGCUUAGCCUUAAACCUAAAUAAUUUCUUAACAAAAUUAUUCGCCAGAGAACUACAAGCCAGAGCUUAAAACUCAAAGGACUUGGCGGUGCUUUAUACCCGCCUAGAGGAGCCUGUUCUAUAAUCGAUAAACCCCGAUAAACCUUACCACUCUUUGCCAACUCAGCCUAUAUACCGCCAUCUUCAGCAAACCCUAAAAAGGAAUAUAAGUAAGCUUAAUCAUCACCAUAAAAACGUUAGGUCAAGGUGUAGCCUAUAGAGUGGAAAGUAAUGGGCUACAUUUUCUACUUUAGAACACACGGAAGCCCCCUAUGAAACUCUAGGGGCCAAAGGAGGAUUUAGCAGUAAAUUAAGAAUAGAGUGCUUAAUUGAACGAGGCCAUGAAGCACGCACACACCGCCCGUCGCCCUCCUCAAGUACUGAAUAUAAAUUAUAAAUAAUUCCUAAAUAAGCAGGUAUAAGAGGAGAUAAGUCGUAACAAGGUAAGCAUACUGGA